Molecule: ribosomal RNA, 261 nt
Filed under: uncultured bacterium
Lineage: Bacteria
Description: partial 16S ribosomal RNA
Rfam family: Bacterial small subunit ribosomal RNA
Source: RNAcentral
CGAACGGGUGAGUAACGCGUGGGUAACCUACCUCUUAGCGGGGGGACAACUAUUGGAAACGAUAGCUAAUACCGCAUAACAAUACUUAACACAUGUUAAGUAUUUGAAAGCACCAAUUGGUGCACUAAGAGAUGGACCCGCGUUGUAUUAGCUAGUUGGUAGUGUAAUGGACUACCAAGGCGAUGAUACAUAGCCGACCUGAGAGGGUGAUCGGCCACAUUGGGACUGAGACACGGCCCAAACUCCUACGGAAGGCAGCAG